This is a long non-coding RNA of Triticum dicoccoides, 2156 nucleotides long. RefSeq lists it as uncharacterized. NCBI's taxonomy places the organism in Eukaryota, Viridiplantae, Streptophyta, Magnoliopsida, Poales, Poaceae. The transcript is spliced from 4 exons. The record is from RefSeq and is a predicted model, not a curated record.
GUACGUGGCGAUUUUUGGGAGGGGGAGGGGGAUCGCCGGUGACGCGGAGGAAGGCCGGAGCGCGCUUCCCGCUCGGCUCCAUGGCGGCCCCUGGACAGAAAUCCAUGGCGGCUCCUGGGCAGAAAGGAGAUAGGGAGGUGAGGGAGAAAGGGACAGUGAUGAGCUCCAGACAGAAAAGAAUCUCAUACUUCAAAAGAUUGAUGGUCAGAUCAAGUGUAUUAAUGAAAUGUGCAACAUGAUGUCUCUUGAUCUUAAGAAGACAUUAUAUGAAGUUCAUCCCAGCUUUGUUGAAUUGGAAAGAAUCAAAUCCAUGAGUCUACAAGAUCUUGGAGGCACACUCAUUGAGUUAUGGAGUCUAACGGACACACCAUUAGAUGAACAGAAAUGCUUUGAUCAUGUUACUUCUUUGAUUUCAGUCUCACAAAAUACAGUGAUGCCUCAAGGAUGCCUUUCACAUGACCUUAUUAAGAAGGUAGAGGUUGAGGUCAAGAGACUGAAGCAUUCGAAAGUAGCAAAAUGAAAGAGCUUGUCUUAAAGAAAAUGAUUGACCUUGAAGAAAUCUACAGAAGUGUUCACAUGUAUAUUGACAGCGAUCAUGAGUAGCAGAUUCUCACUGAACUUAUUGAUUCUGGUUCACUUCUUUCCCAUGAUUUUCAUCCUGAAGAUAGAUAACUGAAGUUAUUAUAUACAGUUUUGUUUCCAUUAAGAACUACACGAUGCAUGAUUUGAAAGGUGCUCCUUGGUUAUAUAACGUUGUUGUUUCUGUCUCAUCUUAAAAUUCUGUGAAUUUCUUAGUCAAAUGCAAUGGUAGGUUCUGCAACUGUCUUUCAACUUUGUGCCUUCUAAGUAUCAGCUUGACUAUUUAGGCAGAUCAAUUUGGAUAAAAAAUUGAAUAAGCUCUUAUGGAAACUAAAAGGGAAAAAAUAUUGCAAGUCAUUGCGGCUCUCCUUCAGAGGACGAUUGCGCAUUCAUGCUCUAGGAUUUUUUUUACUGAGCUCAAGGUUGUGAACUAUUUAUUUCCAUUUCUUUGGUAGUGAUAUUUGGUUAAACUGGAGAUCCUAGCUAUAGAACAUCAGCGGUGUAAAGUAUAUGUAUUGCUGCUCAGAGGUUCUAUAGAUACAUCUUUACUGAUUUUUCAUCUUUAUCAUGUAUGCUUCAAUUCUUGCAUGCCAAAUAAACAUAAGUUCGUGUUUUAUUGUUUAGUUGUCUCAUGUUCGCUCUUCAUUAUUCUAUAUCAAAGUGAUGUCGUUCAAUGCGUUUGUCCCUUGCUGAUGUAGAAAUUGAUUUCCAUGAAGCAUGCCCUCAAGGUGCAACAAUAUCAUUCUUCCUGGUGUUGCAUUAAGUAUACCUCUUAUUUGUUAAAAAAUCCUUUGGAUUUGGGAUUAGUAUAUUAGGUAGACAUCUUUUGGUUAACAACAGAUUCGAGCGCAGGGUAGAAUUCUUGGUUGAUUCUAGAAUUUCGUUGUAGAUUAGCUGGCAGAUUAGAACGUCUUUGGCACUGGACCCAUCAGACGCGUGUGCGUGUGCAGAUCUCACAUGCAUCUACUGCAUCACUUGUUGUUGGAUGGCAGUGUGGUGUGCAAGCGUGUGGAAGGCCUAUUCGCCGCCAUGGGGGCGCAACUCAGCUCUGAGGAGAACAGUUCCAAGGCCCAACUAACAGGCUACCACAAUUCCCUUAGACCACUCACGGACUGUAAUUGAAUUGCUUUAUCGAUCAAUCUAUCAAUUAAUCAUAGGCUACAAUUAACCAGUGUAGUUUGGAUUUGCAGCACUAGGGACCAUUUGAUUCAAUUUGUGCUAUAGUAAUACUAACCUAAUACAAUUAUCAGAUCCUUUUGUCUUGUCAAGCAGAUGGUUAAUUACUGGACAAGUAGAGCAUGGCAUUUUCUGUGUGCAAUCCACAGUGACAAGCUUGCAGAGGCUACUUCAAGUCAAGCGGCUUUAGAAUUUCUUUACUAUGUGUACUCAUGUAGUAUUUAGGUUAGAAUAGAAUCAGAUUUGAUUGGUGCCCUCAGUUCAUAACAGACAUUGACAGGUUACUUCUUUCUGGCUUUAACUUUGAAGCCUAAAUAAGCACCUUUUGCUACUUAAUUGUGCUUGCAGUCAUUUGUGAUUCUCAGUUCAUGAAUAAUAUAUGUUGAUAAGACAUAAAUUUA